GAGGUUGGCUUAGAAGCAGCCAUCCUUUAAAGAAAGCGUAAUAGCUCACUGGUCGAGUCGGUCUGCGCGGAAGAUGUAACGGGGCUAAACUAUGCACCGAAGCUGCGGAUUCAAACUUUGUUUGAGUGGUAGGGGAGCGUUCUGUAAGCCGUUGAAGGUGAACCGGGAGGUUUGCUGGAGGUAUCAGAAGUGCGAAUGCUGACAUGAGUAACGAUAAUGCGGGUGAAAAACCCGCACGCCGGAAGACCAAGGGUUCCUAUCCCAUGUUAAUCAGGGUAGGGUAAGUCGACCCCUAAGGCGAGGCCGAAAGGCGUAGUCGAUGGGAAACGGGUUAAUAUUCCCGUACUUGGUAUAAUUGCGAUGGGGGGACGGAGCAGGCUAAACAAGCAUGGCGUUGGUUGUCCAUGUGAAAGUGAGUAGGUUGGUGACUUAGGAAAAUCCGGGUUGCUAAGACUGAGACACGAGACGAGCCACUAAGGUGGUGAAGUUGUUGAUGCCAUACUUCCAGGAAAAGCCUCUAAGCUUCAGAUUAUACCGAAUCGUACCCCAAACCGACACAGGUGGUCAGGUAGAGAAUACUAAGGCGCUUGAGAGAACUCGGGUGAAGGAACUAGGCAAAAUCGUACCGUAACUUCGGGAGAAGGUACGCUCCUAUCUGUGAUGAGACUUGCUCUCUAAGCGGACGGGAGCCGCAGUGACCAGGUGGCUGGGACUGUUUAUUAAAAACACAGCACUGUGCAAAAUCGCAAGAUGACGUAUACGGUGUGACACCUGCCCGGUGCCGGAAGGUUAAUUGAUGGGGUUAGUUUUCGGACGAAGCUCUUGAUCGAAGCCCCGGUAAACGGCGGCCGUAACUAUAACGGUCCUAAGGUAGCGAAAUUCCUUGUCGGGUAAGUUCCGACCUGCACGAAUGGUGUAACCAUGGCCACGCUGUCUCCACCCGAGACUCAGUGAAAUUGAAAUCGCAGUGAAGAUGCUGUGUACCCGCGGCUAGACGGAAAGACCCCGUGAACCUUUACUACAGCUUGGCACUGAACAUUGACCCUACAUGUGUAGGAUAGGUGGGAGGCUUUGAAGCAGAAACGCUAGUUUUUGUGGAGCCGUCCUUGAAAUACCACCCUUGUAGUGUUGAUGUUCUAACGUUGGUCCCUAAUCGGGAUUACGGACAGUGCCUGGUGGGUAGUUUGACUGGGGCGGUCUCCUCCCAAAGAGUAACGGAGGAGCACGAAGGUUGGCUAAGUACGGUCGGACAUCGUACGGUUAGUGUAAUGGUAGAAGCCAGCUUAACUGCGAGACAGACACGUCGAGCAGGUACGAAAGUAGGUCAUAGUGAUCCGGUGGUUCUGAAUGGAAGGGCCAUCGCUCAACGGAUAAAAGGUACUCCGGGGAUAACAGGCUGAUACCGCCCAAGAGUUCAUAUCGACGGCGGUGUUUGGCACCUCGAUGUCGGCUCAUCACAUCCUGGGGCUGAAGUCGGUCCCAAGGGUAUGGCUGUUCGCCAUUUAAAGUGGUACGCGAGCUGGGUUUAGAACGUCGUGAGACAGUUCGGUCCCUAUCUGCCGUGGGCGUUUGAGAAUUGAGAGGGGUUGCUCCUAGUACGAGAGGACCGGAGUGAACGAACCGC
RNAcentral lists this ribosomal RNA (1624 nucleotides) under Pseudoalteromonas shioyasakiensis. Its description in RNAcentral is "bacterial LSU rRNA". It matches the Rfam family "Bacterial large subunit ribosomal RNA", at positions 1097 to 2709 of the family's 2925-position model. Lineage: Bacteria; Pseudomonadati; Pseudomonadota; Gammaproteobacteria; Alteromonadales; Pseudoalteromonadaceae. The record is from RNAcentral.